CAGCCGCCGCGGUAAUACAGAGGGUGCGAGCGUUAAUCGGAUUUACUGGGCGUAAAGCGUGCGUAGGCGGUGAGUUAAGUCUGCUGUGAAAUCCCCGGGCUCAACCUGGGAAUGGCAGUGGAUACUGGCUCGCUAGAGUGUGUCAGAGGAUGGUGGAAUUCCCGGUGUAGCGGUGAAAUGCGUAGAGAUCGGGAGGAACAUCAGUGGCGAAGGCGGCCAUCUGGGACAACACUGACGCUGAGGCACGAAAGCGUGGGGAGCAAACAGGAUUAGAUACCCCUGUAGUCCCUGUCUCUUAUAC
Molecule: ribosomal RNA, 301 nt
Filed under: uncultured bacterium
Lineage: Bacteria
Description: partial 16S ribosomal RNA
Rfam family: Bacterial small subunit ribosomal RNA
Source: RNAcentral